CUAGUUUCCAGAAAGAUAAAGAAAUCGUAAUUUGGAUAUUUGUAGAGAAAGUUAUGAUUGAUUAAAGAUGACUGGUGGAGCAGUUUCUCCAGAAAUUUUCUGAUUUUAUGGAGCCGAUUUAGAAGCUCAUAUCUCGGGAUAUAUAAAGAGUUAUAUGGUGCCUAUCAAAUUAAAGAUCUUUGAGUCUAGUUUCUAAAUCUUUAAACUGUUUGUCAUUUGGAUAUUUAUACAAGACGUUAUGGGUGUUUAAACAGAAGGUGUCCGACAAGGAAUAAUUUUAAUAGGAUGUACAACUUGUAUAGCACAAGUGCAAGGUACAACUCGACGAAGCACAGGCAGAUUCUUUUAAACACGGAUUUGGCUUAUUUCUUUCAUUUCUUUCAUUUGGCUUGGAUUAUUUUGGAGAGAAUUUCAAGGGGGAUUUCAUCAAGCAUCAAAGGUGAGUUGUUUCUACUUAUUUCCAAGUUAAAUACAUGGAUUAGAGCUAAAAACUCAAGUAAUUUAUGGACAAAAAUGGUGGUUUAGGGCUUGAAACUUAAGAGAAUUAAAUGGCGAUUUGAGGGGUCAAAUGAACUCCGAUUUUUGUGAAUUUGCUAUGUAUAGACUCGUGGCGAGAUAAGGGUCGUAUUGAUGUAAAAAUUUCUGAAUUUCGAGACGUGGGCCCGGGGCUCGGGUUUUGCUAAUUUCAAGAUUUUCGACAUUUUUUGAGUCUUUUCGAUUGGGUUAUAUUCCCUUGGCCUAUUGUAACAUAUUCGUUGUGGUUUUGACUAGAUUCGACGCGCGAAGAGGUCGAUUCAAGAGGAAAGGGCAUUGCAGACUAGUCUACGGCCGGUUAAAGGUGAGUAAUAGAUGUAAAUACUAUUCUGAGGGUUUGAAACCCCAGACUUUCACAUCGUAACACUAUAUUGAGGCGUCACACGCAUUCCAUGGUGAGUGCGGGUCGGAUACUAUUGGGGAUUGUGACUUGGUACAUCCCGUGUGAUGUUUAUACUAUACUGGUGAUUGAUACACACACUUUAUUGAUAUUACUGGGCUUGAUGCCAUGUUUGGGGCCUUGUGCCGAUUUGUAAAAUCCUUCGUGGAUUGAUAUUACUGCUUAGCAUGAUUUGCAUAUCAUUUAAUUUCAGUCCAAGGUUUUAAAUGCUGUUUUGCAAACUCAGCCAUAAUUCUAAGUGUUGAAAACAUAAAUGAUAUUUUUAAAUGUAUUCCGGGCUGGGAACUUCUGUUUUGUAAAUGCCCAAGGGGCUUAUUAUAUUAUUUUCUAGACUGAUUAUAAAGUGACUUGAAACAGUGGUAACAAUGACACUGUGUGAUAUACUUGAAACAGUGGUAACAAUGACACUGUGUGAUAUACUUGAAACAGUGGUAACAAUGACACUGUGUGAUAUACUUGAAAUAGUGGUAACAAUGACACUGGAUGAUAUACUUGAACAGUGGUAGCAAUGGCACUGUAUGAUAUAAAUUGGUCAGGUAACAAUGACUGACCGGUCAGGUAAUAAUGACUGACCAAGAUAUUGCGCUUGGGCUGUAGGAGCCCCUCCGGAGUCUUUACACACCCUCAGUGAGCGCCGUCGACGAUAAAUAAAUAUGGAUGGCUCGGGCUGCACGCCGCAGUGGGUACUGGAAUGUACCAUCAUAUGCAUUGCAUUGCAUUCAUGUAUUUGUAUUUAUACUGGUGUUUAGCUGCUCAGUUCCAUAUGUUGCUGUAUAUUUGGAUUUUAGCUUACUUUGUGUAUUUACUGGAUUUUUUUAUCUUCGGACUGUAGUUACUUUUAUUACUCACUGGGUCGGAGUACUCACUUUACCCCCUACACCUUGUGUGCAGAUCCAGGGCAGUCUCAGGCUCAGUAGAUCCAGUUGAUCAGCAGAUUCAGCCUCUGGGGCUACACGGCGUUCGCAACCAUUGAUCUUCUCCCUCCUAUCCUAUCUCUUUAUUUCCGCAUUAUCAAACUUUGGAUAUACCAUGUAUUAGGAUGAUAUUCUGUAUUCUAGAGGCUCAGAUUUGUGACACCGGGUCCUAGUGAGAUUAUAUUGUGUAUUUUGUUAAAAUCUUCAGUACUUUAAUCUUGCUUAAUUGAUACUUUUUUCCG
Molecule: long non-coding RNA, 2090 nt
Filed under: Nicotiana tabacum (common tobacco)
Lineage: Eukaryota; Viridiplantae; Streptophyta; Magnoliopsida; Solanales; Solanaceae
Description: long non-coding RNA (NTAB_LNC013018)
Source: RNAcentral